RNAcentral lists this ribosomal RNA (748 nucleotides) under marine metagenome. RNAcentral's name for it is "bacterial SSU rRNA". It matches the Rfam family "Bacterial small subunit ribosomal RNA", at positions 769 to 1520 of the family's 1533-position model. The record is from RNAcentral.
CAAACAGGAUUAGAUACCCUGGUAGUCCUAGCUGUAAACGAUGGAUACUGGAUGUGGGAUAUCAUAUAUUCCGUGUCGAAGCUAACGCGUUAAGUAUCCCGCCUGGGGAGUACGAUCGCAAGAUUGAAACUUAAAGGAAUUGACGGGGACCCGCACAAGCGGUGGAGCAUGUGGUUUAAUUCGAUGCAACGCGAGAAACCUUACCAGAUCUUGACAUUUUAAGGAAUUGUUUGGAAACAUGCGAGUCUCUUCGGAGACCUUAAAACAGGUGGUGCAUGGCUGUCGUCAGCUCGUGCCGUGAGGUGUUGGAUUAAGUUCCGCAACGAGCGCAACCCCUACGUAUAGUUGCCAGCAUUUAGUUGGGGACUCUAUACGAACAGCCUGCGAUGAGCAGGAGGAAGGUGGGGACGAGGUCAAGUCAUCAUGCCCCUUACGAUCUGGGCUACACACGUGCUACAAUGGUUACUACAGAAGGUUGCAAUACAGUGAUGUUGAGCUAAUCCUCAAAAGUAAUCUUAGUUCGGAUUGUAGUCUGCAACUCGACUACAUGAAGCUGGAAUCGCUAGUAAUCGUGAAUCAGAAUGUCACGGUGAAUACGUUCUCGGGUCUUGUACACACCGCCCGUCACACCACGAGAGUUUUCUAUACCUAAAGAUGCAACGUCAACCUUCGGGAGACCUGCAGUUAGGGUGUGGGAGAUGAUUGGGGUUAAGUCGUAACAAGGUAGCUGUACCUGAAGGUGCGGCUG